AGCUCUGCACCGCGGCCGUCACCGUCCCAGCCAGUGAGGGCUAUCCGAGCUGUGGUUACUGCUAACUGAGACCUUUUCC
RNAcentral lists this small nuclear RNA (79 nucleotides) under Cervus elaphus hippelaphus. The record is from RNAcentral. Lineage: Eukaryota; Metazoa; Chordata; Mammalia; Artiodactyla; Cervidae.